UACGUAGGGUGCGAGCGUUGUCCGGAAUUACUGGGCGUAAAGAGCUCGUAGGUGGUUUGUCGCGUUGUUCGUGAAAACCGGGGGCUUAACUCUCGGCGUGCGGGCGAUACGGGCAGACUGGAGUACUGCAGGGGAGACUGGAAUUCCUGGUGUAGCGGUGGAAUGCGCAGAUAUCAGGAAGAACACCCGUGGCGAAGGCGGCUCUCUGGGACGGUACUGACGCUGAGACGCGAAAGCGUGGGGAGCGAACAGG
Molecule: ribosomal RNA, 253 nt
Filed under: uncultured bacterium
Lineage: Bacteria
Description: partial 16S ribosomal RNA
Rfam family: Bacterial small subunit ribosomal RNA
Source: RNAcentral